Molecule: non-coding RNA, 801 nt
Organism: Camelina sativa (false flax)
Lineage: Eukaryota; Viridiplantae; Streptophyta; Magnoliopsida; Brassicales; Brassicaceae
Source: RefSeq, a predicted model, not a curated record
AGAGCUAGUUUUAUCUUGAUUAGUUCUUCUUGUUGUUGUUGGAUCAUUAUGUGAUUAACCAUUAUGUGCGGUCACAAAUCUGCCAUAUAUUUAGUGUUCUAGAGAUUACAAAGGUCCAGUUGCUGAAGACAUGUUUCAUUGGCAAGCUACAAUAAUGGGUCCUGCAGAGAGUCCGUAUUCAGGGGGUGUGUUUCUCGUUACCAUUCACUUCCCUCCCGAUUAUCCUUUCAAACCACCAAACUGUAGUAAAGUUAGCUUUUGAAAUGCCUCAAGGAAUCAAUGGCCUUAGAUCAAAGUUCAUAGUAAAGUCCUGCAGUAGAUGAUGACGGAGAUUGUUUUUCUCCCUUGGCGCUGAAUGCGACCUCCGUAAACGUUGAAGUCUAUUAUAACAAAGCUGUGAACUAUACAUUGAUGGUCACUUUUGUCUCGUUCCUACAGGUUCUUUUGUUGAUCCGACAAAUGGAGCACAGUAACACACAAUCCGGUGCUGCAAAGGUCUCUAUAGUAAUGAUCGGGUAACAAGCCAUCAUGGAUUCUUAUUUAUGCCUUUUACAUCUCACAGCUGGGAUUUUAGUUGGUAUGUAUUUUAUAAAAUAAUCUCACACUUGUGUUUCCUCUUUGUUUAGAUGGUAAUCUUAUGUUAUAACAAUGUUAAUGUUAAUUUUUGUAACUUUUAAAAUAUUAUUAUUUUAUUUGGGGGACCAAAUACAAAUAGACACCAAUGUUCAUACUAAAAAUAAGAACCUUUCAAAAUAAUACUUUUAAAUUUGGGGGACCAAAAAUUGUCCCUAACCAAUGCCC